Molecule: ribosomal RNA, 443 nt
Filed under: uncultured bacterium
Lineage: Bacteria
Description: partial 16S ribosomal RNA
Rfam family: Bacterial small subunit ribosomal RNA
Source: RNAcentral
CCUACGGGUGGCAGCAGUGGGGAAUAUUGGGCAAUGGGCGCAAGCCUGACCCAGCAACGCCGCGUGAAGGAAGAAGGCUUUCGGGUUGUAAACUUCUUUUCUCAGGGACGAAGAAAGUGACGGUACCUGAGGAAUAAGCCACGGCUAACUACGUGCCAGCAGCCGCGGUAAUCCGUAGGUGGCAAGCGUUAUCCGGAUUUAUUGGGUGUAAAGGGCGGGUACGCGGGAGCGCAAGUCAGAUGUGAAAACUCAGGGCUCAACCCUGAGCCUGCAUUUGAAACUGUGUUUCUUGAGUGCUGGAGAGGCAAUCGGAAUUCCGUGUGUAGCGGUGAAAUGCGUAGAUAUACGGAGGAACACCAGUGGCGAAGGCGGAUUGCUGGACAGUAACUGACGCUGAGGCGCGAAAGCGUGGGGAGCAAACAGGAUUAGAUACCCGAGUAGUC